Molecule: ribosomal RNA, 433 nt
Filed under: uncultured bacterium
Lineage: Bacteria
Description: bacterial SSU rRNA
Rfam family: Bacterial small subunit ribosomal RNA
Source: RNAcentral
ACGAACGCUGGCGGCAGGCUUAACACAUGCAAGUCGAACGGUUGUAGCAAUACAGCAGUGUCAGACGGGUGAGUAACACGUGGGAACCUUCCUAGGGGUACGGAACAACUCAGGGAAACUUGAGCUAAUACCGUAUACGUCCGUGAGGAGAAAGAUUUAUCGCCCCUAGACGGGCCAGCGUAGGAUUAGGUAGUUGGUGAGGUGACGGCUUACCAAGGCGACGAUCAGUAGCUGGUCUGAGAGGAUGAUCAGCCACAUUGGGACUGAGACACGGCCCAAACUCCUACGGGAGGCAGCAGUGGGGAAUAUUGGACAAUGGGCGAAAGCCUGAUCCAGCCAUGCCGCGUGAGUGAUGAAGGCCCUAGGGUUGUAAAGCUCUUUUGUGCGGGAAGAUAAUGACGGUACCGCAAGAAUAAGCCCCGGCUAACUUCGU